RNAcentral lists this ribosomal RNA (505 nucleotides) under uncultured bacterium. Its description in RNAcentral is "partial 16S ribosomal RNA". It matches the Rfam family "Bacterial small subunit ribosomal RNA", at positions 28 to 507 of the family's 1533-position model. The record is from RNAcentral.
GACGAACGCUGGCGGCGUGCCUAAUACAUGCAAGUAGAACGCACAGUUUAUACCGUAGCUUGCUACACCAUAGACUGUGAGUUGCGAACGGGUGAGUAACGCGUAGGUAACCUGCCUGGUAGCGGGGGAUAACUAUUGGAAACGAUAGCUAAUACCGCAUAAUAUUAAUUAUUGCAUGAUAAUUGAUUGAAAGAUGCAACUGCAUCACUACCAGAUGGACCUGCGUUGUAUUAGCUAGUAGGUGAGGUAACGGCUCACCUAGGCGACGAUACAUAGCCGACCUGAGAGGGUGAUCGGCCACACUGGGACUGAGACACGGCCCAGACUCCUACGGGAGGCAGCAGUAGGGAAUCUUCCGCAAUGGACGAAAGUCUGACCGAGCAACGCCGCGUGAGUGAAGAAGGUUUUCGGAUCGUAAAGCUCUGUUGUAAGAGAUGAACGGGUGUGAGAGUGGAAAGUUCACACUGUGACGGUAUCUUACCAGAAAGGGACGGCUAACUACGUG